UGGAGUCUGAUGACCAAGGGCAGGAAGCAUCCAGCACGGGACAAAGAAGAAAGCCAGAAGACUCAGCAAGCCAGCUCAUCUCACUUUCUUCUGCCUACUUUGUUGUAGCUGAGCUGGCAGCCAGUUGGAUGGUGCACACUCACAUUGAGGAUUGGGAGGCUGCUGUGUAUGGAUAAGAUACCUGCUACAGCCAGCUUGACACCAUGAGAAGGACAAGAGAAUUGCAGAGACACAUAUCCAGGAUUCUGAUCCAGUUGAGGCACUGAAAUAAUCUAGAACCACCUUCAAAUUUCUUAUAAAGAGAGCUAUGCUAUUAGGAUUUAAUUAAAUGGAUGCCAACAGCAAGUAAACCAUCUCCAAAGAUGCCAUGAAGCUCUCCUAAUUGCAGGAAAAUAUCAGAGGCACUUGAUUUGAGUCUUUCAAGUACGGAAAUAACAAAUUCAGUCUCAACAGACCUAUAGUGAAUGAGAAUGAUUGUCACAUAAUGUGUAGAGAAAAUGGAAGAAUCAAAGGCAAGGGAAACCUGUACAGUGGAGACACAAAGGGUCACUGGCAGAUUUCAAAUGAUCCAAGACAUCCUCAAGGAAGAUUUACCACAAGUUACUUUAUCAUAGCUUUGAGUGGCAUUUUAAUAUCAUAUUUUAAAAGAAAGAAAACAAUAGAAAUGUAUUAAAAUAUCUUCUCAAGAAUCCUUCCAAACCACAAGGAAAAUCACCAGGCCAAAAGUGAGGUUUGAAGUCUGGACAUGUACUGGUUUUCUCUAGCAAUCGACUCUCAAUUUUUGACUUUUUCAUAUCUGUUGGGUCUAUAAUGAUGGUCACCCCAACCACAGCUUCAUUUCUGAUAUUGGACAUUGAGAUCUGCUGGUUGGAGAUCUUAGUGCCCAAGGAAGAAUGCUUGCAAAAGGAGAUGGAACAGUGUUUCUGUUGCAUUGGCCACUGAGAAUAUCUGGUUAUUUUGAAUUUGUCACAGUCUGCAGCUAAAAGGCGAACAGGAAAAGAAGAGAGAGCGGUAAUUUGAAUGAUAGCAGAUUUCACAUCAGGAACCAAUGAAGCUAGAUAAGAAUGCAACAUCUUUGAUGUCUAAAAGAAACAAAAAGCCAACCUUGAAUUCUUUAUUUAGUGAAGUUACCCUUCAGAAAUGACGGCAAAAUAAAGAUGUUUUCCAAUAAAAGACAACUAUGAGAAUUCUUCACCAGCAGUCCUAUUGUAUCAGAACAGCCAAAAGAAGUUUGUCAGCCUACAGGGAAUUAUAUCAAAGGGAAGACUUGACCUUGAAAAUGAAUGAGGAAUAUAAGAAAUUGAUAUUAUCUGGGAAGCGGCACAUGAGACUAGCAGGAGUAAAUGUUAUAUACACUGGGCCUCGCAAAAAUUCUGCAAUCACUGGGAAUCAGUAACCUGGUAGAAUGAGAAAACAACGUAAUACUGAAAAAUCAAAACACCAUCCUACAGAACUUUGAUGCAUUCAGAACAAAGAUCACGAAUCAAGCUGAAAAAGUAAAGCAUUCUGUGAGUUGUGGAAUGGAAAUUGCCUCAACCAUCUCACCACUUGAUGACACUUGUAAUUUCAGUGACCCAAUUCAAGCAAUCAAACAUCAAGUAAUACUCUCAAUAAAGAUGUGUAAUUAAAACAGAAGAGGAAACAGACUAACAGAAGUGAUGAAGAAUGGCAGUUCUAAGGAUGGCAGGAAUUCACUGAAUGUCUAUCUAUCAUGUAUGCUGUUGGAGGCACCUGUCUUUCAGUUCAGAGGUUAUGGAUGUAUCUAUCAUCAGUAUUUCGGGAAGUCAGGGACCCGGAACAGAGGGACUUAAUGAAGCUGUGGCAGAAGAAAAAAUUAUGAAGAUUUCAUGGACAUUUAUUAGUUCCCCAAAUUAAUACUUUUAUAAUUUCUUACA
RNAcentral lists this long non-coding RNA (1895 nucleotides) under Homo sapiens (human). Its description in RNAcentral is "HSALNT0308595". Lineage: Eukaryota; Metazoa; Chordata; Mammalia; Primates; Hominidae. The record is from RNAcentral.